CGACGGCAGCACGGGAGCAAUCCUGGUGGCGAGUGGCGAACGGGUGAGUAAUGUAUCGGAACGUACCUUUCAGUGGGGGAUAACGUAGCGAAAGUUACGCUAAUACCGCAUAUUCUGUGAGCAGGAAAGCAGGGGAUCGCAAGACCUUGCGCUGAUUGAGCGGCCGAUAUCAGAUUAGCUAGUUGGUGAGGUAAAGGCUCACCAAGGCGACGAUCUGUAGCGGGUCUGAGAGGAUGAUCCGCCACACUGGAACUGAGACACGGUCCAGACUCCUACGGGAGGCAGCAGUGGGGAAUUUUGGACAAUGGGGGCAACCCUGAUCCAGCCAUGCCGCGUGAGUGAAGAAGGCCUUCGGGUUGUAAAGCUCUUUCAGCCGGGAAGAAAUCACAUGGGUUAAUACCCUGUGUGGAUGACGGUACCGGAAUAAGAAGCACCGGCUAACUACGUGCCAGCAGCCGCGGUAAUACGUAGGGUGCGAGCGUUAAUCGGAAUUACUGGGCGUAAAGCGUGCGCAGGCGGUUUGUUAAGAUAGGCGUGAAAUCCCCGGGCUCAACCUGGGAACUGCGUUUAUGACUGGCAGGCUAGAGUAUGGCAGAGGGGGGUGGAAUUCCACGUGUAGCAGUGAAAUGCGUAGAGAUGUGGAGGAACACCGAUGGCGAAGGCAGCCCCCUGGGCCAAUACUGACGCUCAUGC
This 693-nucleotide ribosomal RNA is filed under the name uncultured bacterium. RNAcentral describes it as "bacterial SSU rRNA". It matches the Rfam family "Bacterial small subunit ribosomal RNA", at positions 64 to 752 of the family's 1533-position model. The record is from RNAcentral.